RNAcentral lists this unclassified non-coding RNA (378 nucleotides) under Hevea brasiliensis (rubber tree). Lineage: Eukaryota; Viridiplantae; Streptophyta; Magnoliopsida; Malpighiales; Euphorbiaceae. The record is from RNAcentral.
GUAGCGGUUUUGUUGUUCUUCGUUGGGAAGAACAGGGAGUUCAUUCACCAAAGGUAUACUGUGUUUAGGAACUUGUUUGAUGAGUAUGGGAAACGGUUUGGGUUUCAGAGAACCCAUUCAAAGCCUGUUCAAUGGUUCAUUGGGGAAACAAAAUUGGGGGAUAAAGAGGGAAAAUGUGAAAAUGAGAAGCAGGUUGUGAGGGAAGGAGUUGAGUUUUACAGUAAUGGUGAUAUGUAUGAAGGUGAGUAUCAUAAAGGGAGGUGUAAUGGUAGUGGAGUUUACAACUAUUUUGUUAAAGGAAGAUAUGAAGGUGAUUGGGUUGAUGGUAAGUAUGAUGGCUAUGGGAUAGAGAAUUGGGCUAGAGGUAGCAAAUAUAGA